UACGUAGGGCGCAAGCGUUGUCCGGAAUUAUUGGGCGUAAAGAGCUCGUAGGCGGCUUGUCACGUCGGGUGUGAAAGCCCGAGGCUUAACCUCGGGUCUGCAUUCGAUACGGGCUAGCUAGAGUGUGGUAGGGGAGAUCGGAAUUCCUGGUGUAGCGGUGAAAUGCGUAGAUAUCGGAAGGAACACCAGUGGCGAAAGCGGCUUCCUGGUCCAGCACCGACGUUCAGGCACGAAAGCGUGGGGAGCAAACAGG
RNAcentral lists this ribosomal RNA (253 nucleotides) under uncultured bacterium. RNAcentral describes it as "partial 16S ribosomal RNA". It matches the Rfam family "Bacterial small subunit ribosomal RNA", at positions 524 to 776 of the family's 1533-position model. The record is from RNAcentral.